GGGGAUUUAGCUCAGUGGCAUAAGCACCUGCCUUGGAAGCAGGUGGUCGUGAGUUCAAUCCCCC
RNAcentral lists this transfer RNA (64 nucleotides) under Cavia porcellus (domestic guinea pig). It matches the Rfam family "tRNA". Rfam says of the family: Transfer RNA (tRNA) molecules are approximately 80 nucleotides in length. Their secondary structure includes four short double-helical elements and three loops (D, anti-codon, and T loops). Lineage: Eukaryota; Metazoa; Chordata; Mammalia; Rodentia; Caviidae. The record is from Rfam by way of RNAcentral.